UGCUAAUAACCAAGCCCAACCAAUAUUACAAACAAAAUAAAAUCAUAUAUUAAUUAAAUCAUUUUAACUAACAAGUAUAUGAAAUAGAAAAUUAACUCAGGCGCAACAGCCACAAGUACCAUAAGGGAAACUUGAAAAAAUAAUGAAAACUAAAGCAAAACAAAGCAAGGAUUACCCCCUGUACCUCCUGCAUUAUGGUCUAGCAAGUCUACCCAGGUUUAACGAAGCUUUAAUCUGACCUCCCGAAUCCAGUCGAUCUAUUUUAAGACAGCCAAUCUACUAUUGGGCCAACCCGUCUCUGUGGCAAAAGAGUGGGAAGAUCUUAAAAUAGUGGUGAAAAGCCAAUCGAGUCUGGCGAUAGCUGGUUGCUCAUUAAAUGAGUCUAAGCUCAACUUUAGCCUAAAACUAUAUACUUAACAAUAAGUCAAUGCAUAGCUAAAAGCUAUACGAUAAGGGUACAGCUUUAUCGUAAUCGAAUACAUCCGAAAUUAGAGAGCUAAUACAAAUUAAUCCUACCAGUUGGCUUUAAAUCAGCCACCAUCAAAAACCGCGUCAAAGCAUUAACCCCAAAAAAUUCAACCAUCACCCAUUAUCUCCUAUUUUCACACUGAGCUAUUCUAUAAAAAUAGAAGAACUACUGCUAAAACUAGUAAUAAGAAACAUUCUCUCAGCAUAACCUUUAAUCAUAACAGAUAAACUACUGAUAAUUAACAGACUAUAACCAGCACUACAACCCCUAACAAGCCAUAUUGCAUGAUUAACUGUAACCCCAACACAGGUAUGCUAAAAGACAGAUUAAAAAAUAUGAAAGGAACUCGGCUAAUAUGCCCCAACUGUUUACCAAAAACACAGCCUUUAGCACUACAAGUAUUAAAGGUGAUGCCUGCCCAGUGAUCUAUGAUUAAACGGCCGCGGUAUCCUAACCGUGCAAAGGUAGCGUAAUCACUUGUCUCCUAAAUAGAGACUAGUAUGAAAGGCUAAAUGAGGGCCUAACUGUCUCCCAUAUUUGAUCAAUGAAACUGAUCUCUCAGUACAAAAGCUGAAAUACACCCAUAAGACGAGAAGACCCUGUGGAGCUUUUAAUUAACUCACUACUUAUACAUCUAGCAUUAAGAUAAUGACAAAUUUAAGUUGGGGCAACUUUUUAAAAAAAGAAAACUUACAAGACAAUAAACUUUAUCGCCAAGGAUUACAGCCCAAAGCGCUAUUUACUAGACCCAGUAUAAACUGAUCAACGAACCAAGUUACCCCAGGGAUAACAGCGCAAUCCUCUUCAAGAGUCCAUAUCGCCAAGAGGGUUUACGACCUCGAUGUUGGAUCAGGACAUCCUAGUGGUGCAGCCGCUACUAAGGGUUCGUUUGUUCAACGAUUAACAGUCCUACGUGAUCUGAGUUCAGACCGGAGCAAUCCAGGUCGGUUUCUAUCUAUGACCAAAACCCUUCCCCAGUACGAAAGGACCAGGAAGAUAGGGCCCAUGCUAUAAGCACGCCCUAAACAGAUAAGGAAAACAACUCAAACUCACUUAACUACACUCGCCGUAGACAACGGCUU
Eublepharis macularius is the source of this 1551-nucleotide non-coding RNA. Lineage: Eukaryota; Metazoa; Chordata; Lepidosauria; Squamata; Eublepharidae. The record is from the annotation of a RefSeq genome assembly.